Molecule: small nucleolar RNA, 105 nt
Organism: Salvia hispanica
Lineage: Eukaryota; Viridiplantae; Streptophyta; Magnoliopsida; Lamiales; Lamiaceae
Product: small nucleolar RNA Z279/snoR105/snoR108
Source: RefSeq, a predicted model, not a curated record
GGGAUGUGAUGAGUGGUAAAUCCUCGCAAAUUAAAUAGGCGAGAUGGGUGUCUGCUCCGCCUGUUUUACGACAAUUAGGCGCUCUCACUUCAACCAUCUGAUCCC